UACGUGGGGAGCAAGCGUUGUUCGGAUUUACUGGGCGUAAAGGGCGCGUAGGCGGCCACCGCAAGUCACUUGUGAAAUCUCCGGGCUUAACCCGGAAAGGUCAACUGAUACUGCGGGGCUAGAGUGCAGAAGGGGCAACUGGAAUUCUCGGUGUAGCGGUGAAAUGCGUAGAUAUCGAGAGGAACACCUGCGGCGAAGGCGGGUUGCUGGGCUGACACUGACGCUGAUGUGCGAAAGCUAGGGGAGCGAACGGG
Molecule: ribosomal RNA, 254 nt
Filed under: uncultured bacterium
Lineage: Bacteria
Description: partial 16S ribosomal RNA
Rfam family: Bacterial small subunit ribosomal RNA
Source: RNAcentral